UACUUUUAAGAUUUUAUUUAUUUUAUUUUAUUCAUUUCUUUAAUCACUUUAACAGUUUAAAACCUUUAUAGAACACACCAAAGUUCUAUAAACACAAAAGAGAAAUGAGAUUAAUGUGAGUUUUUACUUUGUCUACAUGGAAGUUGACCACCCCAAAUUGAAGAAAUUCCUAUUGACAUGGUUUGGUAAUAAUGGAAUUCAAAACUUGG
RNAcentral lists this long non-coding RNA (209 nucleotides) under Physcomitrium patens. RNAcentral's name for it is "long non-coding RNA (PPAT_LNC014578)". The record is from RNAcentral. Lineage: Eukaryota; Viridiplantae; Streptophyta; Bryopsida; Funariales; Funariaceae.